CGGUACCUAAUAUAAGCAUCGGCUAACUCCGUGCCAUCAGCCGCGGUAAUACGGAGGAUGCAAGCGUUAUCCGGAAUCAUUGGGCGUAAAGCGUCCGUAGGUGGCAUUUCAAGUCUGCUGUCAAAGACCGAAGCUCAACUUCGGGCCGGCGGUGGAAACUGAAAAGCUAGAGUGAAGUAGGGGUAGAGGGAAUUCCUAGUGUAGCGGUGAAAUGCGUAGAGAUUAGGAAGAACACCAGUGGCGAAGGCGCUCUACUGGACUUAAACUGACACUGAGGGACGAAAGCUAAGGGAGCGAAAGGGAUUAGAUACCCCUGUAGUCUUAGCGGUAAACGAUGGAUACUAGGUGUUGUCUGUAUCGACCCGGACAGUGCCGAAGCAAACGCGUUAAGUAUCCCGCCUGGGGAGUACGCACGCAAGUGUGAAACUCAAAGGAAUUGACGGGGACCCGCACAAGCGGUGGAGUAUGUGGUUUAAUUCGAUGCAACGCGAAGAACCUUACCAAGGCUUGACAUCCUGUGAAUCUUGAUGAAAGUUGAGAGUGCCUUAGGGAACACAGAGACAGGUGGUGCAUGGCUGUCGUCAGCUCGUGUCGUGAGAUGYUGGGUUAAGUCCCGCAACGAGCGCAACCCUCGUCCUUAGUUGCCAGCAUUAAGUUGGGGACUCUAGGGAGACUGCCGGGGAGAACUCGGAGGAAGGUGGGGAUGACGUCAAGUCAGCAUGCCCCUUACGUCUUGGGCUACACACGUACUACAAUGGUAGGGACAAAGGGAGGCGAAACUGCGAAGUGGAGCGAAUCCUGUCAAACCCUGCCCCAGUUCAGAUUGUAGGCUGAAACUCGCCUACAUGAAGGAGGAAUCGCUAGUAAUCGCAGGUCAGCAUACUGCGGUGAAUCCGUUCCCGGGUCUUGUACACACCGCCCGUCACCCCAUGGAAGUUGGU
RNAcentral lists this ribosomal RNA (941 nucleotides) under Synechocystis sp. CR_L17. RNAcentral describes it as "bacterial SSU rRNA". It matches the Rfam family "Bacterial small subunit ribosomal RNA", at positions 473 to 1415 of the family's 1533-position model. Lineage: Bacteria; Bacillati; Cyanobacteriota; Cyanophyceae; Synechococcales; Merismopediaceae. The record is from RNAcentral.